UUUAUUUUAUUUUAUUUUAUUUUAUUUUAUUUAUUUUUUUGGCUGUGCCCGCAGCAUGUGGAAGUUCCCAGGCCAGGGACUGAACCCACGUCACAGCAGUGACAAUGCUGGAUCCUUAACUGCUGGGCUGCCAGGGAACUCCCAACAGUGUUUUCAAUUAUUGCCCAUCCCAUGAGUGUGAUGACGGAAGGAGUGAGGCAGUUAAAUUGCCCUGGUCUGAUUGCCCAGGAACUUAACCUUUGCUCGUGGACCUGCCACUCCACCUGGGUCACGUUUCAAGUUUACAUAUGUGUGUGGGUCUGUGUCUGACUCUACUUCUGUUUCAUUGGUCUGUUUGUCUCUUAUGCCCUCUCUACCCUGAGUAUCGUGGCUUCAUAAUAUCCCUGAUACUAGGAAAAGGAAGCCUCUCUAUCUUCUUCUUACUCAAAGUCGUCUGUGCUGUUUUGGACCUUGCACCCUUUAUCGUGAAUUUUAGGCACAACUUGUUGAAUUCCAUAGAAAACUCUGUUGGGUUGGUGAUUGGAAUUAAAUUAGAUGUAUGGGAAACCUGGGGAAGUAUUGCCUGCUUUUCUCCUGUUGCUUCUUUCUUUCCAGAAGCUGUUGUGAUCCUCUGUUUAUUUAUGACUUUGAUACGUCCUUCGAUAAGGGUGUCAGGUCUUUCUCCAAAAAAAGCCUUACACACAUUUUAUUAACUGCAUUCCUUAUAUGUUUUAUCAUUCUGGGACUACCUUUUUUUUAUAUUAUGUUUUGUAGCUAUUACUGGGAACUCUCUUGAUUUUUUAUCUAUUUUUAUUUUUUAAAAUUUUAUUUUAUUGUAUUUUUUGUCUUUUUCGGGCCGCACCCGCAGCAUAUGGAGGUUCCCAGGCUAGGGUUCGAAUCAGAGCUGUGGCUGCCAGCCUGCACCACAGCCACAGCAACUCAGAAUCUGAGCUGAAUCUGCCACCUACACACAGCUCACAGCAAUGCCGGAUCCUUAACCCCCUGAGCGGGGCCAAGGAUUGAACCCACGUCCUAAUGGAUCUUAAUCGGGUUUGUUAACCUCUGAGCCAUGAAGGGAACUCCUCUCUUGACUUUUAUAUGCUAAUAUUCUAUCCAGAAACUCCACUGAAUGCCCUGCUUCGCUUUUCUAGCAUUAGGUGGGUUUUAAGUUUGGGAAUUUUGGUUGGCAGGAUCACUUUGAACAGAGGUUUUGCUUCGUUUUUAUUUGUUUCUCAUUUUCUCUCCUGCUUCUUGAAUCAGUGCAUGUGCUUCCACCCAUCCCACAGACCAAUGCAGUGAAGCAGAACCAGGACUUAAGUUGUAGGGGAGGGGAGCCUUCUUGGCCCGUGGCAGUGUUGGGACUAUUGCUCAUCCGGCCGCCGAGCUAACCGGUGGUUAAUGUGCUUCAUUUUCCUGUGGUUAAAUUUUGUCUUCACCCUCUUUCUUCCCAAGCCCUUGGCACCAGGGUCAGCCUGGCUUUUUGUCCCUACAGAAAGUCCAUCUUAGCCUUUGGCUCCAAGCCUGGAGCCCAGCUCCCAUCUCUCAUGGACCACGUUCCCCACAAGGAGAGAGCUUCCAGUUGGCACCCUUUAGGGCCCAUUCCAGAGCCCAGCAGUCCUCUGGCUGCUGCCCCACUGACUGCUUUGUGUUUCUGAACCUUUUCUGGCCAGUGGAGAUAGUCACCUUAGUUUUGCUUCUGCCAUGAUUUUCUGAUUUAUCUGUCUCGGUUCUGUGUUUCGAGCAGAGGGUGUAUAUCCAAGUUCAAACAUACAGGAAGUUCCCAUUGUGGCUCAGGGGGUUAAGAACCUGACGUAGUGUCCAUGAGGAUAUGAGGAUAUGGGUUUGAUCCCUGACCUCGCUCAGUGGGUUAAGGAUCCGGUGUUUCUGGACUGUGGUGUAGGCCUGCAGCUGCAGCUCUGAUUCCACCCCUGGCCAGGGAACUUCCAUAUGCCGCAGGUGCAGCCCUAAAAAGAAAGAAAAGAUAUAGAGCCAUCUUGACUAAAAAUCUCUCCAAUAUUACCUUUAAAAAAAACCUUCCAAGCAGCAGGUGGUAUUAGAGCAUGUUCCGAGAAUAAAACUAAUUUUUGCAUUAUUCAGUCUGUUUAGAAAAGAGAUUUUUAGCCCAUAUGAAAAUUCGUGUUCACGUGGGGUUCAUUUAAGUUACGAUUCCUCAAAUGCUCAGCUAGUUGACAUUUCUAAAUGUCUCUUCUGCAUAGUUUAACUCUUAGUAAAACCUGGUUUCCACAAAUGGUUUGAAAAAACUGCUUUCCAUUUUAUCCCCUGUGACUUCUUGUCAUAAAUCCGUGUAGCCGAGAGGCGUGAAGCUGGAGUGUUUUAAGUGUAGAUGCAAAGGUGGGCCUGUUUCUCUGGACCACGCGCUAAUAACGCCUCCCUCCGCCGUAAUUUGAACAAAGCAAUUCGUCCCCGUGUGACUGAUUCCCUGCAGACACCGUCUCAGUACCGUUGCACCUGGAACCGCGCAUCCUUGGUGGGGACAUGGGCUGAUGGAUGCUGUCCCAGUCGUUCCUAAUGCUGAAGUGUACAUGAAGUGUACAUUCUCAUGAGAAAUUUAAGAAAACAUGAAUCCAUGGAUCAAAAAUGCUUCACACCUGCAAUCACGUGGGUGUACUGUGCUAAGCCCAUUGCGGAAAUGCAGAGAGCAGGUUAGCUGCUCUUUGAAGGGCAGAAGCCACCUAGAAGGGAGGUGGACCACGCCUAGAAAUUGCCUUCACAGGAAACAGGUGCCCAUGUGUGUGCAGUGCGGGUUUGGGUGGAGAUGAAGGACAGAGGGGAUUCUGCUGUUUCCCUGUCCCAGGUCCCAGCCUUUGUUACCGGCUGCUGAAUGGAACUGAAACCUCAGACCCCUCCAGGGGUCAGCAGGACACACAGCCGGAGCGCAGGGAGCAGGUGCCCCCAGGGAACCGCAGGAGAGGCACCUGCCCCCUGAGGCGCUGUCAGGCUGCGGCCAGCGGCUGCCUUACCUUUUUUCCCGGAGCAAGUGGCAGAAAUCCAGCUAAGUGCCUGUAAAAUGACGAUAGCCCGUAAAUCCUAGCCUUCUGGGUUUCCCUGAUCUCUAACCCCCCAUCUCCGUAUGGACAGCACAGGGAGGUCCUAGUUCGAGUUCAUGUUCCUUCUUUGGGGGCGGGGUGGGGACCAACUCUUCCAGUUUGCCUGGGAUGAAGGGGGCCUGCGGCGGACACGGACUUGCAUGUGCUAAAUCCAGGACCGUCCUGGGUGAGUGGGGACAGCUGGUCCCUGGGCGGGCCUCCAAACAGAAAGCCCCAUCGCCCGCAGGGCUCGCCUCUCUGCUGCUGGAGAAACCGCAUUUCUUCUGUUGUUGCUUAUGACGGAUUGGAGGGGCUGGUGGGGCUGAGUCUACCCGCUUCCCCUCCUGGCUGGAAGAGACGAUAAUAUUCUGUGUCAUUAGAAGGCUAAUUUUUUUCUUUCACAAAUAAGGAUGAGGAGCCAAGUCUCAAGCUGUCGUGAGGACUUGCUUUUUUUUCUUUUUCUUUUUAGGGCUGCGCCUGUGGCAUAUGGAGGUUCCCAGGCAAGGGGUCGAAUCAGAGAUACAGCUGCCGGCCUACAUCACAGCUCACAGCAAUGCCAGAUCCUUAACCCACUGAGCGAGGCCAGGGAUCAAACCCGCGUCCUCAUGGAUACUAGUCAGAUUUUCCACUGCACCAAAAUGGGGACUCCUGUUGUAAGGAUUAAGAGCUGAUAUGUGUAGAUGUUUAAACAUAAUAAAAUGGUAUAUAAAUGUUUGCAUUUUUAUUUACCAAGAUACUGAACCUAUUUUAGCACUAAGAACAGCUUUCCUUAUGCAUGUGCAAAUAAAUAUUAAACCCAAAUAAAUUCAAGGAGAAUUAAAGAUUGCAAUGCUAAGGAAAUUCGUAUGUAACCAAAUAGAAUAGUUUCAGGAAAGGUAGGCUUAACGGCAUCAAUGACUCCAAAAUGGCUGAGUCACUCAGAAUAUGGCUCAACUGUCUCUUCAGACCUGGCAAAGCUCUGUGUAUGAAGUUAUCAUCAUUAGUCUGUGUGUGUGUGUGUGUGUGUGUGUGUGUGUGUGUGAAGGAUUAACAAGCUCCCUGUAAUGCUUUUUAAAAUAGAAAUAUAAUUGUCAUCCUUUU
This 4106-nucleotide long non-coding RNA is filed under the name Sus scrofa (pig). RNAcentral describes it as "lncRNA (ENSSSCG00000061956.1)". Lineage: Eukaryota; Metazoa; Chordata; Mammalia; Artiodactyla; Suidae. The record is from RNAcentral.